This 468-nucleotide ribosomal RNA is filed under the name uncultured bacterium. Its description in RNAcentral is "partial 16S ribosomal RNA". It matches the Rfam family "Bacterial small subunit ribosomal RNA", at positions 28 to 507 of the family's 1533-position model. The record is from RNAcentral.
GACGAACGCUGGCGGCGUGCUUAACACAUGCAAGUCGAACGGAAAGGCCCUGCUUUUGUGGGGUGCUCGAGUGGCGAACGGGUGAGUAACACGUGAGUAACCUGCCCUUGACUUUGGGAUAACUUCAGGAAACUGGGGCUAAUACCGGAUAGGAGCUCCUGCUGCAUGGUGGGGGUUGGAAAGUUUCGGCGGUUGGGGAUGGACUCGCGGCUUAUCAGCUUGUUGGUGGGGUAGUGGCUUACCAAGGCUUUGACGGGUAGCCGGCCUGAGAGGGUGACCGGCCACAUUGGCACUGCGAUACGGCCCAGACUCCUACGGGAGGCAGCAGUGGGGAAUAUUGCACAAUGGGCGGAAGCCUGAUGCAGCAACUCCGCGUGCGGGAUGACGGCCUUCGGGUUGUAAACCGCUUUCGCCUGUGACGAAGCGUGAGUGACGGUAAUGGGUAAAGAAGCACCGGCUAACUACGUG